UGCAAGUCGAGCGGACCGACGGGAGCUUGYUCCCUUAGKUCAGCGGCGGACGGGKGAGUAACACGUGGGUAACCUSCCUGUAAGACUGGGAUAAYUCCGGGAAACCGGGGYUAAUACCGGAUGCUUGAUUGAACCGCAUGGUUCAAUCAUAAAAGGUGGCUUUYAGCUACCACUUACAGAUGGACCCGCGGCGCAUUAGCUAGUUGGUGAGGUAACGGCUCACCAAGGCGACGAUGCGUAGCCGACCUGAGAGGGUGAUCGGCCACACUGGGACUGAGACACGGCCCAGACUCCUACGGGAGGCAGCAGUAGGGAAUCUUCCGCAAUGGACGAAAGUCUGACGGAGCAACGCCGCGUGAGUGAUGAAGGUUUUCGGAUCGUAAAACUCUGUUGUUAGGGAAGAACAAGUACCGUUCGAAUAGGGC
This 425-nucleotide ribosomal RNA is filed under the name Bacillus sp. R-46228. RNAcentral describes it as "bacterial SSU rRNA". It matches the Rfam family "Bacterial small subunit ribosomal RNA", at positions 56 to 470 of the family's 1533-position model. Lineage: Bacteria; Bacillati; Bacillota; Bacilli; Caryophanales; Bacillaceae. The record is from RNAcentral.